UGGCUCAGUUGGUAGAGCAUGGUGUUUGCAACGCCAGGGUUGUGGGUUCGAUCCCCAC
Non-coding RNA from Salmo salar (Atlantic salmon), 58 nucleotides. Lineage: Eukaryota; Metazoa; Chordata; Actinopteri; Salmoniformes; Salmonidae. The record is from Rfam.